GGGGAUGAUCGGUUUCGACGUUGGACACUGCGUCGGGAGAAGCGGGCCGAGAAUGCAGAGUCAUCUCGUUAAUGUCCUCUGCAAAACAAUAGGUGCUAAAUCUGAGAACCGCACCGAUUUCGCCCUCGCUGCCUGAUAGAGCGCGAGCUGCGAAUCCGUCAGCCUAGAGUUGCCUCUGCUCUAGAUCCUGGCGUCGCUUAAGGGGCCACUGCUUCAGAUG
RNAcentral lists this transfer-messenger RNA (220 nucleotides) under Burkholderia multivorans. Its description in RNAcentral is "partial transfer-messenger RNA". It matches the Rfam family "transfer-messenger RNA", at positions 1 to 218 of the family's 374-position model. From Rfam's summary of the family: Bacterial tmRNA, also known as 10Sa RNA or SsrA, is named for its dual tRNA and mRNA-like properties. Its role is to liberate the mRNA from a stalled ribosome. To accomplish this part of the tmRNA is used as a reading frame that ends in a translation stop signal. Lineage: Bacteria; Pseudomonadati; Pseudomonadota; Betaproteobacteria; Burkholderiales; Burkholderiaceae. The record is from RNAcentral.